AAGUCGUAACAAGGUUUCCGUAGGUGAACCUGCGGAAGGAUCAUUAACACUAAUGAAAUCCAAAACCUUUUGGAUCAACCCAACCUUAGCGAACCGUUCGUAUUUUCCCUUGCCCAAUUUUACCAAACGCAAAAAAACUCUGAUGUAAAGUGUCUGAUUAUUAUUCUCGUUUCGGUUGUAACGACCAGCGGGAAUCAAAAUCUAACGCAAUACAACUCUUAACAACGGAUAUCUUGGCUCUC
Molecule: unclassified non-coding RNA, 242 nt
Filed under: fungal sp.
Lineage: Eukaryota; Fungi
Description: partial internal transcribed spacer region
Rfam family: Eukaryotic small subunit ribosomal RNA (bases 1-46)
Source: RNAcentral